AGAAGCUGCGGCACGCUGCGAUCUUUUGAUCUGUUUUUUUAAAACCAGCGUCAAAAGAUCGCAGCGUGCCGCAGCUCCU
This 79-nucleotide non-coding RNA is filed under the name Pseudomonas jessenii. The record is from RNAcentral. Lineage: Bacteria; Pseudomonadati; Pseudomonadota; Gammaproteobacteria; Pseudomonadales; Pseudomonadaceae.